RNAcentral lists this ribosomal RNA (780 nucleotides) under uncultured Neocallimastigales. RNAcentral's name for it is "partial large subunit ribosomal RNA". It matches the Rfam family "Eukaryotic large subunit ribosomal RNA", at positions 24 to 643 of the family's 3401-position model. The record is from RNAcentral. Lineage: Eukaryota; Fungi; Neocallimastigomycota; Neocallimastigomycetes; Neocallimastigales.
UAUCUCUGUAGAGUCUGCAUAUCAAUAAGCGGAGGAAAAGAAACUAACAAGGAUUCCCCUAGUAACGGCGAGUGAAGCGGGAAGAGCUCAAAUUUGAAGUCUUCAAGGUUCUGACCUUGACGAAUUGUAGUUUAUAAGAAGUGUUUUCGGUUAGAUGGAGUAGUCAAAAGUUCUUUGGAAUAGGACAUCAUAGAGGGUGAGAAUCCCGUAUUUGGAUUAUUCAUUCUAGCUUUGUGAUACACUUUCAAAGAGUCGGAUUGUUUGGGAAUGCAGUCCAAAAUGGGUGGUAAAUUUCAUCUAAAGCUAAAUAUUGGCGAGAGACCGAUAGCGAACAAGUACCGUGAGGGAAAGAUGAAAAGAACUUUGAAAAGAGAGUUAAACAGUACGUGAAAUUGUCAAAAGGGAAGCGUUUGACACCAGUGUUGUUUUUCCGAAAAUCAAUUACGAAUGGCUUGAUUUUGUGUUGUAUUGACCUUAUCAGCUUUCUUCACUUUUUUCGAGUCUUUCUUAAUGCACUUUUCGGUUAACAAGUCAACAUCAAUUUCUUUUGUUGUAAAAGAGUAUUCGGAAGGUGGCUUUCUUUUCGGAGAAAGUGUUUAUAGCCCUAUACUUCUACAAUCGGAGAGAUUGAGGUCUGCAGCGUAGAUCCUUCGGGGUUAGAUACAUUUGUGCUAAGUUGUAGCUUUUCAUAGACAACUUGUUGACUAUGUUUAGUCAUGCGGCUUACUCGCUUAUGCUAUUUUACCUACGCUUAGGAUGUUGAAGACUCUACAGAGAUAA